This 490-nucleotide ribosomal RNA is filed under the name uncultured bacterium. Its description in RNAcentral is "partial 16S ribosomal RNA". It matches the Rfam family "Bacterial small subunit ribosomal RNA", at positions 30 to 507 of the family's 1533-position model. The record is from RNAcentral.
AUUGAACGCUGGCGGCAGGCCUAACACAUGCAAGUCGAAUGGUAACAGGAAACAGCUUGCUGUUUCGCUGACGAGUGGCGGACGGGUGAGUAAUGUCUGGGAAACUGCCUGAUGGAGGGGGAUAACUACUGGAAACGGUAGCUAAUACCGCAUAACGUCGCAAGACCAAAGAGGGGGACCUUCGGGCCUCUUGCCAUCAUAUGUGCCCAGAUGGGAUUAGCUAGUAGGUGGGGUAACGGCUCACCUAGGCGACGAUCCCUAGCUGGUCUGAGAGGAUGACCAGCCACACUGGAACUGAGACACGGUCCAGACUCCUACGGGAGGCAGCAGUGGGGAAUAUUGCACAAUGGGCGCAAGCCUGAUGCAGCCAUGCCGCGUGUAUGAAGAAGGCCUUCGGGUUGUAAAGUACUUUCAGCGGGGAGGAAGGGAGUAAAGUUAAUACCUUUGCUCAUUGACGUUACCCGCAGAAGAAGCACCGGCUAACUCCGUG